RNAcentral lists this ribosomal RNA (253 nucleotides) under uncultured prokaryote. RNAcentral's name for it is "partial 16S ribosomal RNA". It matches the Rfam family "Bacterial small subunit ribosomal RNA", at positions 524 to 776 of the family's 1533-position model. The record is from RNAcentral.
UACGGAGGGUGCGAGCGUUGUUCGGAAUUACUGGGCGUAAAGCGCGUGCAGGCGGCCGACUAAGUCAGGUGUGAAAGCCCGGGGCUCACCUCCGGAAGUGCGCUUGAAACUGGUCGGCUAGAGUACGGGAGAGGGAAGCGGAAUUCCUGGUGUAGCGGUGAAAUGCGUAGAUAUCUGGAGGAACACCGGUGGCGAAGGCGGCAUUCUGGACCGACAUUGACGCUGAGGAGCGAAAGCCAGGGGAGCAAACGGG